AAACAAUUCAAUACAGCACACUGAAUAGGCUUUAAGGAAGUCUAAGUUUUGAUCAUCUUAGUUGAUAAUUGUUGUUGUACUUGAUAACACUCUGGUUGCAUGUGAUCGAAGUUCAAAUGGAAAUAGCUUAAGAAACAGACAGUAAUUUAUUUCUAUUUAGAAUAAAAUAAAAGUCUAAUAGACAUUUCAGGUAUCGUUGGUUCUAUGGACUGAAAUGAGUUCAAAAUGACUCUCUUACUUUACUUAUUAGUUCUUUCUUUAUAUUGACUUCUUUCUUAUUCAGGCCCUCCCUACACAGAAAAAAAGAUGGCAAUCAGCAGCUCAAACUCAGAUCCUACUAUGAUGGCAAUGGCAUAAAGAUUGAGCUUUGCUCCUAAUCACUUUUAAGAAGGUCUAAGUAAGACUUCAAGUGACUUAGCUGUGUCCCAUAUGCAGCCUUCAGUCAUUUGCUGUAACUGGCUGAACAGAAUACUCUGACUAGGCCUGACUCACGAGUCUCCCCAGGAAGCACAGAGAGCAGGUAUCCACUUCCCUGCAACUGCAUAGCCUGAAUGGCACUGCUUCCACCGAAUCUCAACCCUGUGAACUAAAUUGCAUGGUGUCCACUUCACCCCAGCCACAAAGACUGAAUACCUUUAUGUCCACCUUACUCCAACCAUAUGGACGGAACAGGAAUCUUAUGAGGUGAACACAUGUUAAGUACUGUCAGUAGAGGAUGCAGGAGAGACAUUGAGAGAGGAUGAAGGAUUCUUCUAAUUCUGUACACCUGCCAAAGUCUCACCUCAGCUGCCUGCCUAGAAAGGCUGCUUCCCAUGACCCUCUCUACCUGAAGACCACAUGUUCUAAUUCUCAUGCAAAAGCCCCAUCCUCACUCCCUCUUUAUACAUUCACUUAUGAACUGUGGCUCUCUGCCACCUCAUUUCCUGCUUGCCCAGCGACCAUGGACCAGCUCUGAUCUGAGUGUCCUAGGAAACUUCUCUGGAGGUUGCAACUACACCUUCUCCAACAAGACCUGAACCCCACCUUGGAAUCCCCACUUCAACCUUGUCCUUCAUUGCAUCAUUUCCCUGAGCCCUAGGCUAACCAGCAGAGUUCUCUUUACAUCCUUAUAUUUACUUCCCUGCCAUAUUUAAUAAUUCUUUACAUUAAAAAGUUCCUGUUCAAAUUACUAUGAUUUCUUUUUCCUGAUUGAAUUUAGAUGGAUAUAUCCUCUUCAUAAUAAAUUCCAUUUCUCUUGGACUAAUUUGAAUGAAUGUCUGUUUCUUUUGAUCACGAAAACUGGCUACAAAUAGGCAGGACACAACAACUGAGUUUCCUCUGUUUGAGAUUCUUGCCCUUGUCCUUUGACUCUCACAGAAUUUUAUGAAAUUGACCUCAGUGCCUACAACUGACUGCACAUGACAAAAUGCAGAACACUUAGAUUUGAUGAACACAAGGCUUGACAUAUUUGUCAAUAGUACCAGGAAUAGUUUUGCAUACUAUAAUAUUUAACAGCCACAGGAGAA
This 1505-nucleotide long non-coding RNA is filed under the name Homo sapiens (human). RNAcentral describes it as "HSALNT0119051". Lineage: Eukaryota; Metazoa; Chordata; Mammalia; Primates; Hominidae. The record is from RNAcentral.